Monomorium pharaonis (pharaoh ant) is the source of this 6573-nucleotide long non-coding RNA. RefSeq lists it as uncharacterized. The transcript has 2 exons. Lineage: Eukaryota; Metazoa; Arthropoda; Insecta; Hymenoptera; Formicidae. The record is from RefSeq and is a predicted model, not a curated record.
AUUCUAUGUAAAUUUUAAAACUGCAAAAAAUUCUUUAAAAAAAGAAAAUAUUUCUUGACUUAUUAUCUUUUUCAUACUUUAAAUAUUUAAUAAAUAUAUGAGUAUGUCACUUUUUCUUUACUUUUACUCAACGUUGUGUAGUAUCAGGUUGCAAAGGUUACAUCGUAUAUUAAAUUUGAAAGAGUAAAUAGGAAAAUGGAUGGCAUGUAAGAAUCCUAUUGGAUCAUUGUUUACAUUAGUCACAAACAGUAUUUUUCACAUAGGUUGUGAAAAUAGAAAUUGUGCUUGAAAGUAUUUAUUUCGCACGAGUAUCUAAACAAAUCUCAACCAAGAAUUUAUCGCAAAAAAUGAUCUCUGUAAUUACACACAUACACAUGUAUACUGUUAUUCGCAACAUGCAUCAAACAUGUAAAUCGACUGUAUCGCUCUGUAGCAUUAGUUCGGUGAUUUUACGUGAUAAUCGAAGAUAGUAUGUACAUGCUUCGUAUUUUUAUUUUCAACUUAAAUUGCAUCUCGUGAUAUUCCGUGCAAACCACUGUACAUAAUACUUUUUUUUUGUAUAUGCAGUUUUAGUUAUAACCUUUCUUUUUCUUUCUGUCUCUUUAAAUGUUCCACUUACAAUUUCAUCUAAAGAUAGCAAAAAUGAUGAGUGAAUCACGUAUUGAUUCAAGUGCCAUCGUACAUCUCGUCAAAUUGUGUUCUUCUCACUAUUUUAACAUGUUAAACAACAAAUUCGUCAUGAUCAUUAUAUCAUUUGUAUCAUAAUAUUUUGAAGAAGACGUUACGGUGGCAAAUAUUGCGUUCUCACAAAUUUUGCGUGUCGCUAUCUUUUGCGCUGGAAACAUUGUCGCGAGCGGAAGUCGCGUUUUUAUUUUUUAUAUCAUACAAAUUUUCAUCAGCAAACGAAAUCGCCACGAUGUAUAGUACAUGUAAUCCAUGGAGAGCAAUAGCGGUCUCUAAUUUCCAAAUAUAAUUUUGAUUUGUAAAAGGUGAUCAAUUUUUCUCUUUCCCUAGAUUAAUUUUUCUAGUUGAAAUUCUGUAACUUAAAAUUAAAAAUGCAAUCUUGCUCGAAAAAUUCGUCAAGUUCUUGCUGAAAAAAAAUGUAUGUUUAAUCAAUUUUGUUUUUACGAAAGAAUAUUUAUAAACAAAAGUAUAUAAAUAUACCAUGUUCACUGAAAUACUAUCGUGUUUGCGAAUUUAUGAGAUGUAGUUAGAUGAUCGAAUAAGUGAUUUGAAUAUUCCGCGUCGAGCUUUGAAACUUCAUUGGUCGAAGCGCUGCAGCUGACUUCAGAUCGUUAAAAAACGCGGAACUAGUCGCGACUGUCGCGAGUCGCCGACUCUAAUAUCAGCAAGUUGCGAUUAAAUUGAUCUUAAUCUUUCGUCUGAUGCACACGACUGAACGCACACGUUUGAAGAAAACAUGCGUUCGAUUGAAGUAUCCGCGGAAAUGCAUGUAUGGACGGUUAAUUCCUAUUCGCGUCAUCUUAACCUUAACCUGACUCGCGUCGUGUCGCGCGGUAAAGUUUCCGACGUGAAGCUGUCGCUGUAAAAACGUCGUAGAACAAAGCCGUGUCACGAAUUCCGUUUAAUCGCCAAAUAAUUGGAUUUAUUUUGCCUGCGCAAUUAGUCCCGCAAUUUAUUGCAUUUCGGUAAUUAGUGCGUGUAAGAUCGAGUGUGUGAAUGCCAUGGAGAAGUAACCGCGAAGAAUUCAUGAGAGGCGAAGUCUAUCUGGGAGGCGUUGAACGACGACGGAAUGACCGUAGGAUGAGCCUGUCCAAGUUUUUGCUCGCGAGCAAAACGUCUUUCCCUCUACGUCAACCUGAGUGAAACGAAGGAUAAACGAAAGCAGAAAGAGAGAGGGAGGGAGGAAGAAAGACAGAGAUGCUGAGGCUCCACCCAACAGGGAUCGCACGUGUACGUCGUAUCAUUCGCUGCGGGCAGUUGUAUCAGAAGUGUUAGCAAUUCCGGAACAAGGUAGGUGGCUCCUCCGCUUGAUAAAGCUAGAGAGAAAUCUAGUUUGUUACAUACCUCGGAUAUCUGCGCUACAUAUUCCAAGGUAGUGCAGCCUUUAUUUUAUUUUAUCUUGCCUUUUUUUUACUAUUAAUUAAUAUAAUUUUUUGCUAUUAAAAUAGCAUAUGUAGCGACGAUACCUUUUCAUGAUUAUCACAAGUUCUCUCUCUCUCUUUUUCUCUCUCUAUCUCUCUCUCUCUGUUUCUCUCACUUCGUCGCACCGCAUCCUUUAAUCUUGCGAUAUAAUACCUACGAAAACGCAACUUGCACCGCGAGAUGCACAUGCUCCCAUAAUACAUACGCGAGAGAGUUGCGUGCCCGCUACAUUACUCCGGCUGAUUCUUUCAAGGCAAUGUGCACGAAUGUUCACACAAGAACCACUAGGAACGUCCCUUAGCUCUCGUCUCGUUCCUUAUUCGCGCACUCGGGAUCGUUAAAUUUUUUACUCGAUUCGGACUCUCGCGGGCUCGCCACGCUCUAGGGACACGCGAGUCGGAUAUCUCCUCAAGAAAAUAUCCUGUGGUGAAAAAGAAAUUCGCCAUUCGCUGAUUUUCGAGCCCGUCGUUCCAUUUCUCGCAGAAGGGCCCUCGAAUUUUACAAGAUGCUGAUACAUUCGUAAAUAAUUUUUCUCGGGAUAUUUAAAGUGAUGCAAUUCUAUUUGUAAAGAUGGCGAUUUUAUCUUUUUUGAUCGUGCGAUUUCUUCUCGCGAAUGAAUUGUCUCGAUAGUCGACAUGCUAAGCAUCAAACUUUUUACACAGAGUAUACGGAAAUCAGAAAUUAAUUUCAAAUUUAACCUCAACUUGAAAAAGAUAUUAGCCUUCCUGUUAUAAAUUUCCUAAAAAAGUUUCUUCUAUAAAAUUGGUUUCGAUCACUGUCACUUUCACUCAUUGUCACGUCGAACGCGCUGUCCCAAAAGUUUUCAGACUUUCGCGGGAAAUUUUUCACGGAGGGGUGAGGGAUUUUUGUAUUACAAUCUUCUCGGGAAUCGCAUGGUACUAGCCGGCAUUUUCAACCCUGAAUGUGCAUAUGUCGCGGCGAAGAGACAGUGGAGAAGGAGACGGAGGAAAAGGGCGUCACGCACUCGUAAUACAUAUACGUGCAUCGUGCGUGCAAUGGCCCGUAAAAGCUGACUGGUUGCUCGGCACCCGAGAGAAGAGGGAUGCAGCCACGCCAGCUAUGUUAAUUAAACGCGUUUCUAGCCCCCGCAUAGAAAACCGAAGAAAAAAGAAGGAGCCGCGGGAGGAGAAGGAGGAGGAGGAGGAAGAAGAAGACGAAUAGAGGCAGGGAGGAGACGGCAGCUAAGGAGCAGAGGAAGAGAGGAGAGUGCCGGGCUAAUAACACGUCCCGUACGACGAACGCACGCCACACGCCCGUCUCUUCUUCUGCUACUUCUUCUCCUUCGCUUCCUUCUACUUCUUCUUCUUCCCCUGCCUCUUGUUCACGCACCGGGGCCGCGUCUUUUUGCCGCGGGGGGAAUCGAGCGACGCCCGAAAGAAUCGAGAGCGUGUAGACCGACGUACGGAGGAACGGAUGGACGGACGGACGGACGACGAGAGCGUCUGAGAAACUUUGUAGGAACUGGAGUGAAGGCAAAUUGGAGUAUUAAUUAUCCCGGCGAGAGCAUGUAUGGGAAGUCGAUUUGCUCGCGCUCUCGCGCGCGACGGACAGAGAUUGCGUCUUGACGUCUUCAAAGGGUUGGAAGCUGCCGGCCGCGGCAGGCUUCCCUCCUUCUCGGCUGGGAGGAGUUCUCUGGCAGGGCGGUCUGCACGAUCUCGUCCACACGACAACAACAACAACAACGACGACGACGACGACGACGACGACGACGACCACGACGACGACGACGUCGACGUCGACGAUGAGCGAGAUAAUCGCGGUGGCCGAUGGAUAGGUAGUUGGGAGCAGAAACUCAAACUGGAAAAAGCAUCAGCCGUUUCUCUCCCCAGCGAGAUACCGACCUUUCUUCCGCCGUAAAGCGGAGCGUGUUAAUUGCGCAUGGUAAUUGCCGAGCGACGGGGCGGCUCGCUCGCUAUGUGUGGGGUAUGUAAGCCCUGAUCGAAAUUAGCAGGCUCUUAACCGAAAGCGCUGGUAACGUAAGUAACGAGACUAGGCGGGGCACCGUAACAGGAUAUCGUGCGAUUUCGCGGGUUACGAGGCAAGCGGAGGAACAGGAAGAUCUCCUCUCCGCGGAGAGCGAAAACUUCGGAGUCUCGUCAAGCUACUCGCUUCAAUUUCGGAAGUCGCUGUUUUUUUCUCUCUCUCUCUCUCUCUCUCUCUCUCUCUCUCUCUCCUCUGUCCUCCUCCUUUGUCCCGAGUCAGGCUUGCGCCGGGGAGAUGACGGGCGUCCGAAUCAUCAAUUUAUUAUAACGAGGCGCGUUCGUAGACAUUUGUCAGAAUAUUAUGCCGCGCUGUGGUCGUCGGCGAUGCGCCACGGCGGUAAUAAUUCUCAACCGGAGGGCAAACGCGAGGACGCGUUCGCAGUAACGGCCUCGUUCGUACGUUCGUUCGUCCGCCGCGAAACAAGUUUUUCGGUAAUUUCGCCGGCCGGCUGUCCGCUCGCUGUCCGUCUUUGCUCGCCGUUCUGACAGCGUCCCGUUGCGGAUAAUCACUUCCUGGGCCUAAUGGCCCGCGGUAGGGAAAAAAGAGCGUCCGAAAAACUCGCCGAUUGUCCGCGAGAAAUUAAUCAAUAUCGCCGCGAAUCGCGAGUACUCCCGCGAUUUGCCAGCGUCAUCGGUUGUCGCGGCUCUCUGACAGAAAAAUUGAUGCCUCUGUAGAGAAUAAAAUGCGGUUUUUCUUUCUGCGAACUGGAUUCUGAGACCAUUUCGACGAUUAGCGUCGAAUAGUUCAUAGUCACUAUAUAGUUCAACGUCUCGGAUGCCAAGUUAACUGCAGCAUUAGGAUAAAAUUGUAGAAAUUUAGUUAUGUUUAUUGAAACUAUCUUAACUUGAAAUCUUUUUGUACUUAACGUUUAGAAUUACAUUGCGAAACUUCUCCUAUUUUUCGCAUCGAGACCGGAUUGUCGAACUUUUCAUUGUCAAUGUCGGAAUUAGAUGGCGAAACUUUUUUUGAUACGAUACUCGUCGAAGUUAGAACUUUCGUUCCGACAUCAAUGUCGGCGUUUUCCCUUCGUAAAGUUGCAUAACGAUUUCCGAAGUUCCCGUGUUCCUCGCACAAAAAAUCGAGAGCGGCUCGAAGGGGCGGUCGAAAGUCGCGACGUCGACAAAUUAGCCGGCGAAGGGCUGCCGGUCAUAAGAGGUACCAAGGGGUCGCGGGGACGUCUGUCGUCGUCGUCGUUGACGUCGUUUCAGGGAAACGCACGUGGAUCAGGAGGGCCGGGAAAGGAAACGACAGAGUGCAUAUGUCCGACGAGAAUACUUAAUCAUCCGGGGAAUUUUUCCGUCGACAACUGAUUACCCGCGCUCGAGCCGAAUGGCUGAUUAACACAUUUUAACGCGCCCUCCCUUCCUCGUGAAAACGAUAUGGUUGAGUCGGAAGCCGUCGUCACUUCCGUGACGAGCCACGUUAUUUUUAUCGUGAGUGUGCGCAGAAAGUCAUAGUUUCUAUGUCGUUGGUACAUAUUUUUUAACUGAAUAACGAAAUCGGGAGAAUUUUUUAAUAGAAAAGUCUCCGCGGAGAUUUUGACGUAAUUCUUCAAUAAUCAAACAGUUUUAAUAACCAAAAUAAGAUUAAUAACACGAAUGUUGUUUCGAUAUAAGUAAUAUUAUUAAUUUGGAAAGUGAAUACAUAACUGAAAGGUGUUUUAUAUGAGAAAAAUAGGCAUACAUUUAAAAUACAAUUUGUGUGUUGAUUUUUAGAUUAAAAGUUGACACAAUGUUUAUUUUAAAAAAUCAAGAUUUAUUCCAUUACUUUGAUAAGAAAACGGUCUUUAGGGAAAUUUAGACGCUUUUUUAUUUCGCACAGUGGUUAAUAUGUGAGAUCGCAGAGUGAUGAUAUCGUGUGUCGCGCGUGGCUGAUCGUUUUUGUUACCCUUUUGCAGCGGACGGUCUUAUUACCGGCGCCAUUAAAUUUCAUGCAAUUAUAAAUAAUAAAUUACAGUAUAUCGACGCUCGCACUGAUAGAUGAGAAUCCGGCAAAACGACGUAUUACAAUCAACGUAUAUUUAUUAUGCCAUAAUUAACCGGAAAUUGUCGUUACGUUAUUAACUAAAUAAUAAUGAUGUAUCGCGCGACAAAUGAAUGAGGUGAAACGACGUCGCGUUAUCACAAUUAUCAUUAUCAUUUCGCAUCGCCUUUCUUUUCCCUUUUUUCCGCCGUGCAACCGGAAGCCCGAUAAACACCGGUAACAACUCAUUCGCAAUUUUACAGGGAAUACUUACAACGUGCCCACCGUAAGCAGAAUUCCGCUUCGGAAUUCGAGAAUCGCUAGCGCGGUGAAAUGAUAAAUCUUCUGAAAUUUUAUGCGCAGAAUUUCCGCCGAAAAUUUAUUCCCUUCGUUAUCGUGGAGUCUCGCGACGGCCUUGAAACGACGAUAUCACAUAUCUUCUCGCGCAACCCGCAGAUAAAUGCCGGUGUCCACACGACGGUGCAAUAAUAAUUCCGCUAA